CAAUUCCACCAUCAACGCACCGAAUAGACACCACAUCGACCUAUUUAUCUGGGACUUCUCUCUCUAAUAAUACAAUUCUUCCAAUUCCACCAUCAACGCACCGAAUAGACGCCACAUCGACCUAUUCAUCUGGGACUUCUCUCUCUAAUAAUACAGUAUGUAUCUGUCUAUGACAACAAUAAUGUCUGCGUCGCUAACAUGAAUUUUUUUUUUUCAGAUUCUUCCAAUUCCACCAUCAACGCAGCGAAUAGACACCACAUCGACUUCUUUCUCUAAUAAUACAGUAUGUCUAUAACAAUAAUGUCUGCAUCGCUAACAUGAAUUUUUUUUUUUCAGAUUCUUCCAAUUCCACCAUCAACGCACCGAAUAGACACCACAUCGACCUAUUCAUCUGGGACUUCUCUCUCUAAUAAUACAAUUCUUCCAAUUCCACCAUCAACGCACCGAAUAGACACC
Molecule: long non-coding RNA, 456 nt
Organism: Ctenocephalides felis (cat flea)
Lineage: Eukaryota; Metazoa; Arthropoda; Insecta; Siphonaptera; Pulicidae
Exons: 3
Source: RefSeq, a predicted model, not a curated record